RNAcentral lists this transfer RNA (58 nucleotides) under Salmo salar (Atlantic salmon). It matches the Rfam family "tRNA", at positions 8 to 63 of the family's 71-position model. From Rfam's summary of the family: Transfer RNA (tRNA) molecules are approximately 80 nucleotides in length. Their secondary structure includes four short double-helical elements and three loops (D, anti-codon, and T loops). The record is from Rfam by way of RNAcentral. Lineage: Eukaryota; Metazoa; Chordata; Actinopteri; Salmoniformes; Salmonidae.
UGGCUCAGUAGGUAGAGCAUGGUGUUUGCAACGCCAGGGUUGUGGGUUUGAGUCCCAC